Oncorhynchus keta (chum salmon) is the source of this 4022-nucleotide long non-coding RNA. RefSeq lists it as uncharacterized. The record is from RefSeq and is a predicted model, not a curated record. The transcript has 7 exons. Lineage: Eukaryota; Metazoa; Chordata; Actinopteri; Salmoniformes; Salmonidae.
CAAAUCAUGGUACAAAUAUUAUUGGGCACAGACAACAGCACAAAACAUGGUACAAACAUUAUUGGGCACAGACGACAGCACAAAACAUGGUACAAACAUUAUUGGGCACAGACGACAGCACAAAACAUGGUACAAAUAUUAUUGGGCACAGACGACAGCACAAAACAUGGUACAAAUAUUAUUGGGCACAGACGACAGCACAAAACAUGGUACAAACAUUAUUGGGCACAGACGACAGCACAAAACAUGGUACAAACAUUAUUGGGCACAGACGACAGCACAAAUCAUGGUACAAAUAUUAUUGGGCACAGACGACAGCACAAAACAUGGUACAAAUAUUAUUGGGCACAGACGACAGCACAAAACAUGGUACAAACAUUAUUGGGCACAGACGACAGCACAAAUCAUGGUACAAACAUUAUUGGGCACAGACGACAGCACAAAUCAUGGUACAAACAUUAUUGGGCACAGACGACAGCACAAAACAUGGUACAAACAUUAUUGGGCACAGACGACAGCACAAAACAUGGUACAAACAUUAUUGGGCACAGACGACAGCACAAAACAUGGUACAAACAUUAUUGGGCACAGACGACAGCACAAAACAUGGUACAAACAUUAUUGGGCACAGACGACAGCACAAAACAUGGUACAAACAUUAUUGGGCACAGACGACAGCACAAAACAUGGUACAAACAUUAUUGGGCACAAGACAACAGCACAAAACAUGGUACAAACAUUAUUGGGCACAGACAACAGCACAAAAGGCAAGAAGGUAGAGACAACAAUACAUCACACAAAGCAGCCACAACUGUCAAAGAGUGUCCAUGAUUGAGUCUUCGAAUGAAGAGAUUGAGAUAAAACUGCCCAGUUUGAGUGUUUGUUGCAGCUCGUUCCAGUCACUAGCUGCAGCGAACUGAAAAGAGAAGCGACCCAGGGAUGUGUGUGCUAUGGGGGGGACCUUUAACAGAAUGUGACUGGCAGAACGGGUGUUGUAUGAGGGCUGCAGUAGAUAACUCAGGUAGGGGGGAGUGAGGUCUAAGAGGGUUUUAUAAAUAAGCAUCAACCAGUGGGUCUUGCACUGAGUUUACAGAGAUGACCAGUUUCAAAGGAGUAUAGAGUGCAGUGAUGUCUCCUACAAGGAGCAAAGGUGGCAAAUCUGAUGGCCGACUGGUAAAGAACAUCUAUCCGCUCGAGAGCACCCUUACCUGCUGAUCUAUAAAUUAUGUCUGUCAUCUAGUAUGGGUAGGAUGGUCAUCUGAAUCAGGGUUAGUUUUGUAGCUGAAGUGAAAGAGAUUUAACUUUAGCCUGCAGCUUUGAUAUGUGCUGAGAGAUGUACAGUGCACCAUCUAGCCAUAGUCCCAAGUCCUUGUUUGAGGUGACUACCUCAAGCUCUAGACCCUUAGAGGUAGUAAUCACACCUGUGGGGAGAGGGGCAUUCUUCUUACCAAACCACAUGACCUUUGUUUUGGAGGUGUUCAGAACAAUGUUAAGGGCAGAGGAAGCUUGUUGGACACUAAGAAAGCUUUGUUGAAGAGCAUUUAACACAACAUCUAGAGAUGGGCCAGCUAAGUAUAAAACUGUAUGUAUAUCAUCUGUGUAUAAAUGGAUGAGAGAGCUUCCUACUGUCUGAGCUAUGUUGUUGAUGUAAAUUGAGAAGGGCGUGUGGCCAAGGAUCGAGCCUUGGUGACAGGCAGUGGCUGAGACAGCAGGUUUUCUGACUUUAUACACUGCACUCUUUGAGAGAGGUAGUUAGCAAACCAGGCCGAAGACCCCUCAGAGACACCAAUGCUCCUUAGCCGGCCCACAAGAAUGGAAUGGUCUACCGUAUCAAAAGCUUUGGCCAAGUCAAUAACAAUAGCAGAACAAUAUUGCUUAGAAUCAAGGGCAAUGGUGACAUCAUUGAAGACCUUUUUUAAGGUUGCAGUGACACAUCCAUAACCUGAGUGGAAAGCAGAUUGCAUACUAGAGAGAAUACUAUAGACAUCAAGAAAACCGGUCAGUUGAUUAUUGACAAGUUUUGCCAAUACUUUUGAUAACCAGGGCAAAAUAGAAAUAGGCCUAUGACAGUUAGGAUCAGCUUGAUCUCCCCCUUUUAAAUAAAGGACAAACUGUGGCUGCCUUCUAAGCAAAGGGAACCUCCCCAGAAAGGAGACGGGCUUGGCGAUGAUAGGGGCAACAACCUUAAAGAUGAAAAGGUCUAAACCAUCUGACCCAGAAGUUUUUUUGGGGGGUCAAGUUUAAGGAGCUCCUUCAGGAACUCCAACUCAGUGACUGCCUGCAGGAAGACAUUUUGUAGCGGGGCAGGGGAAAAGAGGGAGAAGCAUCGGGGAAGGUCGCAUUAGGAGUGGGAGAUGAGGAAACGUUGUCGCGGGGCAGGGGAAAAAGAGGGAGAAGCAUCGGGGAAGGUCGCAUUAGAAGGAGUGGGAGAUGAGGAAAUGUUGUAGCGGGGCAGGGGAAAAAGAGGGAGAAGCAUCGGGGAAGGUCGCAUUAGAAGGAGUGGGAGAUGAGGAAACGUUGUAGCGGGGCAGGGGAAAAAGAGGGAGAAGCAUCGGGGAAGGUCGCAUUAGAAGGAGUGGGAGAUGAGGAAAUGUUGUAGCGGGGCAGGGGAAAAAGAGGGAGAAGCAUCGGGGAAGGUCGCAUUAGAAGGAGUGGGAGAUGAGGAAACGUUGUAGCGGGGCAGUGGAAAAAGAGGGAGAAGCAUCGGGGAAGGUCGCAUUAGAAGGAGUGGGAGAUGAGGAAACGUAGCGGGGCAGUGGAAAAAGAGGGAGAAGCAUCGGGGAAGGUCACAUUAGAAGGAGUGGGAGAUGAGGAAACGUAGCGGGGCAGGGGAAAAAGAGGGAGAAGCAUCGGGGAAGGUCGCAUUAGGAGUGGGAGAUGAGGAAACGUUAUAGCGGGGCAGGGGAAAAAGAGGGAGAAGCAUCGGGGAAGGUCGCAUUAGAAGGAGUGGGAGAUGAGGAAACGUUGUAACUGGGCAGGGGAAAAAGAGGGAGAAGCAUAGGGGAAGGUCGCAUUAGAAGGGGUGGGAGAUGAGGAAACGUAGCGGGGCAGGGGAAAAAGAGGGAGAAGCAUCGGGGAAGGUCGCAUUAGGAGUGGGAGAUGAGGAAACGUUGUAGCGGGGCAGGGGAAAAAGAGGGAGAAGCAUCGGGGAAGGUCGCAUUAGGAGUGGGAGAUGAGGAAACGUUGUAGCGGGGCAGUGGAAAAAGAGGGAGAAGCAUCGGGGAAGGUCGCAUUAGAAGGAGUGGGAGAUGAGGAAACGUAGCGGGGCAGGGGAAAAAGAGGGAGAAGCAUCGGGGAAGGUCGCAUUAGAAGGAGUGGGAGAUGAGGAAACGUAGCGGGGCAGGAGAAAAAGAGGGAGAAGCAUCGGGGAAGGUCGCAUUAGGAGUGGGAGAUGAGGAAACGUUGUAGCGGGGCAGUGGAAAAAGAGGGAGAAGCAUCGGGGAAGGUCGCAUUAGAAGGAGUGGGAGAUGAGGAAACGUAGCGGGGCAGGGGAAAAAGAGGGAGAAGCAUCGGGGAAGGUCGCAUUAGAAGGAGUGGGAGAUGAGGAAACGUAGCGGGGCAGUGGAAAAAGAGGGAGAAGCAUCGGGGAAGGUCGCAUUAGAAGGAGUGGGAGAUGAGGAAACGUAGCGGGGCAGUGGAAAAAGAGGGAGAAGCAUCGGGGAAGGUCUCAUUAGAAGGAGUGGGAGAUGAGGAAACGUAGCGGGGCAGGGGAAAAAGGGAGAAGCAUCGGGGAAGGUCGCAUUAGGAGUGGGAGAUGAGGAAACGUAGCGGGGCAGUGGAAAAAGAGGGAGAAGCAUCGGGGAAGGUCGCAUUAGAAGGAGUGGGAGAUGAGGAAACGUAGCGGGGCAGGAGAAAAAGAGGGAGAAGCAUCGGGGAAGGUCGCAUUAGAAGGAGUGGGAGAUGAGGAAACGUUGUAGCGGGGCAGGGGAAAAAGAGGGAGAAGCAUAGGGGAAGGUCGCAUUAGAAGGGGUGGGAGAUGAGGAAACGUUGUCGCGGGGCAGGGGAAAAAGAGGGAGAAGCAU